AUGCAACAAGGGCACCCGGUACCGUAUCUGAGCAAAGCCUUCGCCCCCAAAAACCUGGGUUUAUCAGCGUAUGAGAAGGAAUGUCUAGCUCUGCUUCUGGCAAUCGAUCAUUGGCGGCCAUAUCUACAACAUGCAGAAUUCAUUGUGCGCACGAACCAGAAAAGCCUGUUGCAUCUCAUGGACCAACGGCUCAACACACCAAUUCAGCAACAUGCCUUCACCAAGCUCAUAGGCCUGUAGUUUGUGAUCCAGUACAAGGCGGGUCUCUCCAACCGAGAAGCAGAUGCACUAUCGCGGAAGGCACAUGGCACCCAGGCCGAGCUCGCAAUGAUAUCUAUCUGCAAACCGGCAUGGUUGGAGGCCAUCUGGCGCAGUUAUCGUACAGACGAGGUGGUCAAACAGCGCAUGGCCAAGAUAGCGCUUGAUCCACACAAUGAACCUGACUUUGCACUUCAGGAUGGAGUCCUCCGCUUCAAGAGCCAUAUUUGGAUAGGGGAUGACCCGGAAACGCAACAUCACUUGAUUCGCGUGCUCCACGCAAGUGCAGCAGGGGGGCACUCUGGGUUCCAUGCUACUUAUAAUCGGGUGAAGCAGCUCUUUGCUUGCAAGAACAUGAAGUAG
Molecule: ribosomal RNA, 621 nt
Filed under: Triticum aestivum (bread wheat)
Lineage: Eukaryota; Viridiplantae; Streptophyta; Magnoliopsida; Poales; Poaceae
Description: partial small subunit ribosomal RNA
Source: RNAcentral